UGACCGUACACUUCACUGCUCUGCCAUCUCGGCAGGCUUUUAAAGUUUCUGUUAAUAGCAAAGGUGAUAUUUUUCCACAAGCACGACUUGAGAAGUCAAGUGCUACUCAAGAAGCGCAAGCAUGUUAAGUAACCUGAAGAUUCGUAUAAUCUGCUUGCAAUUGUCUAAAGGGAAAAGAAGUUUGGGAGUAGCAAAAGAAAGUUUCAGAGAUGACUCUUUUUGUUUUCUAUGGUCACUGCAACUGCUAUGGACGUCAUCAGGGUACAUCUCCGAGGACAAAAGCUCGUGUCGUUGAUGAAAUGCCCGCUUUGCUCUUUAUCUGCCUUUCCACAAUCAAUCCACUUGAGACUCGGUCUUUUCUCCGGGGUUAUCUCCAAAGAAAGAUGCCCCCUCGAAUUCCCCACUGGAAUACAACACAAGUUAGGCUUCAUUUACUUUCAGAAAAAUGUCUCUUCAAUUCAGUGUGUGUGUGUGUGUAAAUGUAAAUGAUGGCUAGCAGCAUGAGUGUAAAUCUCUUGGAGGUCAGGGGACUCCACCCAUAUCAUUUAUAAGGCAACAACAGUCACCCCACCCAACCACUUGAUCUUUGCAUGCAAGGCAGUAUGGAGAGAGGACAGACCCGUUCUGCAGUGCCCUCCUAUUUUGCGUGGUCCAUCUGCAACACUUUAUGUUGCUGUCUGCCAAUUGGCAUUGCAGCAAUUUACUUCUCCUCCAAGGUAAACGACGCCAAUGCUACGGGGAACUCUGUAGCAGCUGCUGAUGCGUCAAGGACCGCCAAGAUCCUCAAUAUAGCGGCGCUGGUGUGCGGAUUAAUUUUGAGCGCCAUAUUGAUCACUGCGUAUGUGCUUGGACUAGACGUAUUAGGUGUGUAGUUCAUGUACUUGCCAAAAUAAACAAAUCAAAUCAAAA
Molecule: long non-coding RNA, 909 nt
Organism: Syngnathus typhle (broad-nosed pipefish)
Lineage: Eukaryota; Metazoa; Chordata; Actinopteri; Syngnathiformes; Syngnathidae
Exons: 2
Source: RefSeq, a predicted model, not a curated record